UUUUGAACUCGCUCCACCCUCAGCACCCAGGGUCUCGUCUCAUUUUGGAAGCUAAGCAGGGUCAGAGCUGGUCAGGGCUGGGAUGGGAGAUUCCAAGGGAGCACCAGGGAACUCCAGGU
Molecule: ribosomal RNA, 119 nt
Filed under: Pogona vitticeps (central bearded dragon)
Lineage: Eukaryota; Metazoa; Chordata; Lepidosauria; Squamata; Agamidae
Source: RNAcentral